GGGGCCCACCCUUCCUCGUGGUGGUGUUUCCUGGGUCACUCUGUCUUGUCCUGAGGGCCAUGCUGUGCCGUGGCUGCGGGACACACCUUUCCUGUGUGGGCACCGUGGGUGGGCGGGUCUGACCCUGUACCCAGUGCCUCCCGCCACUGAGCACCGUGAGGGACAGGCCCCCUCACACUGCCGACACCUGUGCGUCCACGAGGGCAUCUGUCAGCGCUGAAUUCCUUGUUGAGCAAGUGGAUAAUAAGACUUCUCCACUCUGGCUUCUGCCCACACUGCUCUGCCAAAAGUGCUCUCUCCAAGGUAACCAGUAACCUCUAUGUCGUCCUUUCUGGGGAGCAUUUCUGAGUCCUCAUCUUCCUGGAAUGCUCCUUGGAGGACCAUCUGAGAAUCCUUCUACUGCACACGGAAGAAAAACCAACUCAAACUGUGGCAAACAAAGCAGUCUGCCUUUCCACAGAAAGUCAAAAUAGAAAUUCUGACUUUUUCAGCUACACCCAGUUCUUUCUACAAAGAGUAAACAUGAAGAAACUACAGAAGUAAAACCUGAAGUUAUGAUCCAGGCUAUAACUGAGCUGUAUAAUAAAUAAUGAACCUCAGAUUCAAUGAAAUAUAACAGACCUCAUCAUCCAAUACAAAAGCUGUAUUACUGAACACUACUGAAGAAAAGUAAGACCAUUUACUUGUUAGUUUUCCCAGUCUGUGCAAGGCAAAGCCUCCUCUUCAUCCUCUGACUCAGGGGAUGCUUCUUUGAUUCUUCUAAGAGCUUCAUGGAUGCUCCGUGUUAGAGGGUCCGUGUCGGGCAGAAGCGUGAAGGAUUCUCUCAAGACUUCCUUCUGUACCUUCUUCAAUUUUACCCCCUUCCUUAUUUGUGCCAAGAUAUUAUUAUCAUCUUCAUCAGGAAAAGGAGGCAGAGUUCGCUGUUCAACCUUUCUCAGAUGAAAACUACCACGCUUCAAGGAAGCCAGCACCUCAUCCAUGGGUGAGCUCACUUUAGAAAAUGAAAGAGAACAACUAUGAUUGCACUUAAGAGUCAGGAACUGUGUAACCUCCAGACUUUAGGACUGUGAUAGCCCAGGAUGCUAAAAACACAUCUACAGAAGGGACCAUGAAGCAUGGACAGAACAUGCCAGAACACAGGGGAUACUAAUUAUGCUUGUUUAAAAAAAAAAAAAAAAUUCCAAGACCCAAAUUCCAUGUCAGGCAUUACUGGUAUUCCUAUCAUUUCCCAUGUGAGAGAAGUGAGCAGACUGGGGGCUGGGGGGUGAUCUUUAGUAUUAUUAUGGGUGAGACUCCUAAAGAGUUUCCAUAAUGCAAAAGUCCAAUCUAAAUUCAGACAGUGACUGGACUGCACAUUUAAUUUUAAAAAAUUAAAUUCUGAUUCA
Molecule: long non-coding RNA, 1385 nt
Organism: Balaenoptera ricei (Rice's whale)
Lineage: Eukaryota; Metazoa; Chordata; Mammalia; Artiodactyla; Balaenopteridae
Exons: 4
Source: RefSeq, a predicted model, not a curated record